UGGGGAAUAUUGGGCAAUGGGCGCAAGCCUGACCCAGCAACGCCGCGUGAAGGAAGAAGGCUUUCGGGUUGUAAACUUCUUUUCUCAGGGACGAAUAGAUGACGGUACCUGAGGAAUAAGCCACGGCUAACUACGUGCCAGCAGCCGCGGUAAUACGUAGGUGGCGAGCGUUAUCCGGAUUUACUGGGUGUAAAGGGCGUGUAGGCGGGGAAGCAAGUCAGAUGUAACGAAACGACGGCAUCCAACUGUGGCCUGCAUUUGAAACUGUUUUUCUUGAGUACUGGAGAGGCAGACGGAAUUCCUAGUGUAGCGGUGAAAUGCGUAGAUAUUAGGAGGAACACCAGUGGCGAAGGCGGUCUGCUGGACAGCAACUGACGCUGAGGCGCGAAAGCGUGGGGAGCAAACAGGAUUAGAUACC
RNAcentral lists this ribosomal RNA (418 nucleotides) under uncultured bacterium. Its description in RNAcentral is "bacterial SSU rRNA". It matches the Rfam family "Bacterial small subunit ribosomal RNA", at positions 355 to 786 of the family's 1533-position model. The record is from RNAcentral.